This 406-nucleotide ribosomal RNA is filed under the name uncultured bacterium. RNAcentral's name for it is "partial 16S ribosomal RNA". It matches the Rfam family "Bacterial small subunit ribosomal RNA", at positions 28 to 526 of the family's 1533-position model. The record is from RNAcentral.
GACGAACGCUGGCGGCGCGCUUAACACAUGCAAGUCGAGCGAGCGGCGGACGGGUGAGUAACACGUGGUAACCUGCCUUAGACAUUGGGAUAGCCUCGGGAAACCGGGAUUAAUACCAAAUGCGCUAAGAUGGACUCGCGUCCCAUUAGCUAGUAGGUGGGGUAAAGGCUCACCUAGGCGACGAUCUCUAGCUGGUCUGAGAGGAUGAUCAGCCACACUGGGACUGAGACACGGCCCAGACUCCUACGGGAGGCAGCAGUGGGGAAUAUUGCACAAUGGGCGCAAGCCUGAUGCAGCCAUGCCGCGUGUAUGAAGAAGGCCUUAGGGUUGUAAAGUACUUUCAGCGGGGAGGCGUUACCCGCAGAAGAAGCACCGGCUAACUCCGUGCCAGCAGCCGCGGUAAUUC